Dreissena polymorpha is the source of this 1651-nucleotide long non-coding RNA. RefSeq lists it as uncharacterized. The transcript is spliced from 4 exons. NCBI's taxonomy places the organism in Eukaryota, Metazoa, Mollusca, Bivalvia, Myida, Dreissenidae. The record is from RefSeq and is a predicted model, not a curated record.
CUCAUGAUAUGUGAAAUGCAAUUCAAAGUAGCAACUACAGCUUGGUUAUAUGCAAGUUUUAUGAAGUCUUCUAAAUGAUGAACCUAAAUUGGAUAAUAGAGCUGUGCGCAGUAUUGAUUUCUGCAGAAUGUGUCCAGUCAAAUGAUCCACUAAUAAACGUUAGUCCGCUGUGUAAAUCCAACUUGGUAGUUACUUGUAAUGCGAGUAGUGGACUAUACGGAUAUUGGACAUUUUAUAGAAGUCGCAAUGGCUCUGAAGACAUGGAAAACAUAGGAAAGGUAUCUGAUAAUGAACGAGAAUGCGAAGUCACCACCCUAAAAACUACACAAUCAACGCAGUGUAUUUGCAUCGACGCCAAUCAUGUCACGUGCAAUAUAUUCGAUUAUAUGAUUGCUAAACCAGGUCACAGUUGGAAAUGUGCUAGACAUGUACAUGGAUCUUCACUUGUAAGCGUGUCCGAUGUGAUACCAAUGGAAGAUAUAAAUGAAUGUACAACGACAACACAAACAGCAACACAAAUCAUAAAAAACGAAAGUAAAAUGACUGAAAGUUUUGAGAAUGAAACGAGCAAGGUUUCUACGACUGAAGUGAUGUUGACAAAGACGGCAGGAAAAGAAAACGGCAUAACAACCGAAGAAAACGAACAUAAGGAAUCUCCUGCGAAACAUGACAGUAAGAAACCGGAAUAUAUUAUUUAUUUGUUUAGUGUUUGAAUUGUUAUUAUAAAAAUCGAACGGGACUGCAAGCUGGUCGACGCUAACAUGCCUUCCAAAUGGACACACAAUAAAAGGCGUUUAAAACAGCGAUAAUUAAUGUAUUGUCGCUUUACAGCCGUAAAGGCUCAAGCGUUUUGCCAAACACAUACAAUUAAUAUUCAGAAAUUUCAGAAGUAUUAUGGUAUCAGUAUGUAUGAUUAAACAUUUGCACAUUUUUUAAAGUGCACCAUAAAAAUCGUCAAAUGUAUGCCACUGGUGUUUUCAUCAAAAUGUUCGUGUUGCUUUCAGUUACGCAUGUAUCACUUAUGAUUGCCGGGUCGUUUGUUUUGUUUGGACUCAUCGAAAGUAGCAUUGGCUCAUUUCCUAAUGCAUUGUCGAAAAAGAGGUGGUGCCUGUGAUUAACGACCGUGUACUUUUAAAACUAGUACAUGUAAUACAAAUACGCAUUUUUCUAUUACAUCAUUUAGAUAUUUUUAUUUUUAAGACACAGAAGACUGAGAAGCUUAAAACAGUAUAAAACCUUUGUAUGUUUAUUGUUCAUUAAUGUCAUAAUUGAUAUAUUAUCUAUGUUAAAUUGGAAGUUUUUUUUUAUAUUACAUGUGUUUGGUCGGUCAUAUUUGUUUAUGCAUUGUAGUUUCACACGGAUUGUGGUAUACUGCGGAGUGUGAGUCACAAAAGGCUUUAUAGGAGAGAUCACGUGAUGCUCAUAAGUUGUUCGUAAUCCCGAACACCUGUAAAAAAACGAUAUUGCAACAAAUAGUAAAGGACCAUAAGUAAUCACUCGUGCAUGUAGAGAAAUGAACAAGUAAAAAUGUAUGCGUUUAGGUAUUUUUACUACCGCACGUGAAUCAUUUCUUUAUUUUUUAAGAAUUAUUUUAUUAUGUAAGACUAAAGUACUAACACUCUGAUUAACACAAUUUAUUUUAAAUCAAGAA